RNAcentral lists this ribosomal RNA (902 nucleotides) under Pseudomonas sp. 2A9S1. RNAcentral describes it as "bacterial SSU rRNA". It matches the Rfam family "Bacterial small subunit ribosomal RNA", at positions 49 to 946 of the family's 1533-position model. The record is from RNAcentral. Lineage: Bacteria; Pseudomonadati; Pseudomonadota; Gammaproteobacteria; Pseudomonadales; Pseudomonadaceae.
CUACACAUGCAAGUCGAGCGGAUGACAGGGAGCUUGCUCCUGGAUUCAGCGGCGGACGGGUGAGUAAUGCCUAGGAAUCUGCCUGGUAGUGGGGGACAACGUUUCGAAAGGAACGCUAAUACCGCAUACGUCCUACGGGAGAAGCAGGGGACCUUCGGGCCUUGCGCUAUCAGAUGAGCCUAGGUCGGAUUAGCUUGUUGGUGAGGUAAUGGCUCACCAAGGCGACGAUCCGUAACUGGUCUGAGAGGAUGAUCAGUCACACUGGAACUGAGACACGGUCCAGACUCCUACGGGAGGCAGCAGUGGGGAAUAUUGGACAAUGGGCGAAAGCCUGAUCCAGCCAUGCCGCGUGUGUGAAGAAGGUCUUCGGAUUGUAAAGCACUUUAAGUUGGGAGGAAGGGUUGUAGAUUAAUACUCUGCAAUUUUGACGUUACCGACAGAAUAAGCACCGGCUAACUCUGUGCCAGCAGCCGCGGUAAUACAGAGGGUGCAAGCGUUAAUCGGAAUUACUGGGCGUAAAGCGCGCGUAGGUGGUUUGUUAAGUUGGAUGUGAAAGCCCCGGGCUCAACCUGGGAACUGCAUCCAAAACUGGCAAGCUAGAGUACGGUAGAGGGUGGUGGAAUUUCCUGUGUAGCGGUGAAAUGCGUAGAUAUAGGAAGGAACACCAGUGGCGAAGGCGACCACCUGGACUGAUACUGACACUGAGGUGCGAAAGCGUGGGGAGCAAACAGGAUUAGAUACCCUGGUAGUCCACGCCGUAAACGAUGUCAACUAGCCGUUGGAAUCCUUGAGAUUUUAGUGGCGCAGCUAACGCAUUAAGUUGACCGCCUGGGGAGUACGGCCGCAAGGUUAAAACUCAAAUGAAUUGACGGGGGCCCGCACAAGCGGUGGAGCAUGUGGUU